RNAcentral lists this ribosomal RNA (492 nucleotides) under uncultured bacterium. RNAcentral describes it as "partial 16S ribosomal RNA". It matches the Rfam family "Bacterial small subunit ribosomal RNA", at positions 29 to 507 of the family's 1533-position model. The record is from RNAcentral.
AGUGAACGCUGGCGGUAGGCCUAACACAUGCAAGUCGAACGGCAGCACAGUAAGAGCUUGCUCUUACGGGUGGCGAGUGGCGGACGGGUGAGGAAUACAUCGGAAUCUACUUUUUCGUGGGGGAUAACGUAGGGAAACUUACGCUAAUACCGCAUACGACCUACGGGUGAAAGCAGGGGAUCUUCGGACCUUGCGCGAUUGAAUGAGCCGAUGUCGGAUUAGCUAGUUGGCGGGGUAAAGGCCCACCAAGGCGACGAUCCGUAGCUGGUCUGAGAGGAUGAUCAGCCACACUGGAACUGAGACACGGUCCAGACUCCUACGGGAGGCAGCAGUGGGGAAUAUUGGACAAUGGGCGCAAGCCUGAUCCAGCCAUACCGCGUGGGUGAAGAAGGCCUUCGGGUUGUAAAGCCCUUUUGCCGGGAAAGAAAAGCAGCAGGUUAAUACCCCGCUGUUCUGACGGUACCCAAAGAAUAAGCACCGGCUAACUUCGUG